GACGAACGCUGGCGGCGUGCUUAACACAUGCAAGUCGAACGGAAAGGCCCUGCUUUUGUGGGUGCUCGGGUGGCGAACGGGUGAGUAAACCGGGAGUUACCCGGCCUUGGCUUUGGGAUAAACUCAGGAAACUGGGGGUAAUUCCGGGAAGGGGCUCCUGCUGCCUGGGUGGGGGUGGGAAGGUUCGGCGGUUGGGGGUGGACUCGCGGCUUAUCAGCUUGUUGGUGGGGUAGUGGCUUACCAAGGCUUUGACGGGUAGCCGGCCUGGGAGGGUGACCGGCCACAUUGGGACUGAGAUACGGCCCAGACUCCUACGGGAGGCAGCAGUGGGGAAUAUUGCACAAUGGGCGGAAGCCUGAUGCAGCAACGCCGCGUGCGGGAUGACGGCCUUCGGGUUGUAAACCGCUUUCGCCUGUGACGAAGCGUGAGUGACGGUAAUGGGUAAAGAAGCACCGGCUAACUACGUG
Molecule: ribosomal RNA, 467 nt
Filed under: uncultured bacterium
Lineage: Bacteria
Description: partial 16S ribosomal RNA
Rfam family: Bacterial small subunit ribosomal RNA
Source: RNAcentral